AAUGAACGUUAGCGGCGUGCCUGAUGCAUGCAAGUCGAACGCCCCGAUUUUCGCAAGAUUUAUCGGGGAGUGGCGAACGGCUGAGUAACGCGUAAGUAACCUACCUUCAAGUGGGGGAUAACCUGCCGAAAGGCAGGCUAAUACCGCAUGUGUCGGUAAGCGUAAGGUUUACCGGUAAAGCUUCACGCGCUUGAGGAUGGGCUUGCGUCCGAUUAGCUAGUUGGUAGGGUAAUGGCCUACCAAGGCGAUUAUCGGUAGCUGGUCUGAGAGGAUGAUCAGCCAGACGGGGACUGAGACACGGCCCUGACACCUACGGGUGGCAG
This 323-nucleotide ribosomal RNA is filed under the name uncultured Chloroflexota bacterium. RNAcentral describes it as "bacterial SSU rRNA". It matches the Rfam family "Bacterial small subunit ribosomal RNA", at positions 29 to 351 of the family's 1533-position model. Lineage: Bacteria; Bacillati; Chloroflexota. The record is from RNAcentral.